This 1001-nucleotide ribosomal RNA is filed under the name uncultured bacterium. RNAcentral describes it as "bacterial SSU rRNA". It matches the Rfam family "Bacterial small subunit ribosomal RNA", at positions 358 to 1355 of the family's 1533-position model. The record is from RNAcentral.
GGGAAUUUGGACAAUGGGGGAAACCUGAUCCAGCCAUCCCGCGUGUGCGAUGAAGGCCUUCGGGUUGUAAAGCACUUUGUCAGGGAAGAAAAGGUUUCGGAUAAUACCCGGAACUGAUGACGGUACCUGAAGAAUAAGCACCGGCUAACUACGUGCCAGCAGCCGCGGUAAUACGUAGGGUGCAAGCGUUAAUCGGAAUUACUGGGCGUAAAGCGUGCGCAGGCGGUUCGGAAAGAAAGAUGUGAAAUCCCAGGGCUCAACCUUGGAACUGCAUUUUUAACUACCGGACUAGAGUAUGUCAGAGGGGGGUGGAAUUCCACGUGUAGCAGUGAAAUGCGUAGAUAUGUGGAGGAACAUCGAUGGCGAAGGCAGCCCCCUGGGAUAAUACUGACGCUCAUGCACGAAAGCGUGGGGAGCAAACAGGAUUAGAUACCCUGGUAGUCCACGCCCUAAACGAUGUCAACUAGCUGUUGGGCCCUUCGGGGCUUAGUAGCGCAGCUAACGCGUGAAGUUGACCGCCUGGGGAGUACGGUCGCAAGAUUAAAACUCAAAGGAAUUGACGGGGACCCGCACAAGCGGUGGAUGAUGUGGAUUAAUUCGAUGCAACGCGAAAAACCUUACCUACCCUUGACAUGUCUGGAAUCCUGAAGAGAUUUAGGAGUGCUCGCAAGAGAACCGGAACACAGGUGCUGCAUGGCUGUCGUCAGCUCGUGUCGUGAGAUGUUGGGUUAAGUCCCGCAACGAGCGCAACCCUUGUCAUUAGUUGCUACAUUUAGUUGAGCACUCUAAUGAGACUGCCGGUGACAAACCGGAGGAAGGUGGGGAUGACGUCAAGUCCUCAUGGCCCUUAUGGGUAGGGCUUCACACGUCAUACAAUGGUCGGGACAGAGGGUUGCCAAGCCGCAAGGUGGAGCCAAUCUCACAAACCCGAUCGUAGUCCGGAUUGCAGGCUGCAACUCGCCUGCAUGAAGUCGGAAUCGCUAGUAAUCGCGGAUCAGCAG